GGAUAGCUCAGUGGUAGAGUGCUUGUCUAGCAUGCAUGAGGCCCUGGCUUCCAUCCCUAGCACCA
RNAcentral lists this transfer RNA (65 nucleotides) under Marmota monax (woodchuck). RNAcentral's name for it is "tRNA.Ala". The record is from RNAcentral. Lineage: Eukaryota; Metazoa; Chordata; Mammalia; Rodentia; Sciuridae.